AUGAUGGGUGUUCUGGUCCAUCUGGCUCUGGAAAUGCAAACUCCCGCCCAGGGCCUUCAUCACGAUGCUCGCGAUCAUGCUCACGAUGAUGCUCGUCGGGGUAUGGCCUUGGACGAACUGGCACAUGAACCGGCCCUCUUUGAUGACCCAAAUAGUCUUCCUCAGGCCUGUGUUGAUGUCCACCGUGAUGUUUGUGGCCACCUGGGUGGCGUGGAGAACCACGUGAAAAGGGAACAGAUAAGCUGAACUGGUAGCCCAGCUUGGAAGCAUCAUGGCCAUGCUGUCUGCGGGGAUUAUUAAAACUGUUGUCAAUAAUAAGGCCACUCGGUCCGUACCGAGGAGGAUUAGCACCAUCACGAGAAUGAGCAAAAGGGAUCCUCAGGGCUAAGUCAAAGCUCCUGGGCUUGGCCACAAGGUGGUUUCUGUGUGCUCGAGGCUGGAGCGGAGAUGUUUCCAUGGAUCUGUGGGUGGGAAUAUUAGAGCGUGGCUGAUACGAUCUCGGGGAUUCGACUUGGACCCGAUCACGCACAUUAGGGUAGAUCUUUGGAUCCGUCGGCCUCAGAGCCCUCAUGUACUGGAAAGGACGAGGGUUUCCAUACACAUCGUGUUCCCCUCUUCCACCCUGCCAUACUCUAGGCUGCACAGGACUUGUGGCUGAGAGAGAGAGAGAGAGAACAUGGGUAAGAAUGCAGAUUAUAAUCAGGUUGGUAAAACUGAAAACACAUCUACAUCUUCAGUUUGUCAGCAUUGUUUGGACAGAACUUCAGUCUUCAGUUUAAGCCAGUGUCAAAGAUAUUUGCAUUCUUAUACCCUUUUAACAUGAGAGAAGAAAUCACUUGCUUGAGCCACUCACAGAAAGCAUAAUAUUCACACAUUUUUAUACCAUCUACAGUUACCCAGUUUGAAUUGUUCUUUUCCAAAUUUAACAGGGAAGAACUUGACCUUUUAAAGUGAUUACUGGAGUAAAAAGGUAAUAAAACACCAGUGAAACAGCGACGCUUAUGAUGACUGAUUACAAUGCAUCAUAAAUGCAACCUGUAGAGUUUACCCCACUGAAUAAAACCCAGCUGUGACGUUAAAGCAGUGGAGCUCUAAGUGUGCAGCUGUCACAUUAGAAAUGCAGAGAAAGGGUGGUAGUGCAAUUAACAAAUCAGUAAAUUCAUUUUACUGCAGUCUGUUUAAAUACCCUGUUUCAACUGAAUUAAACCUGCUGAUUUGAACAUUAAGCAUACCAGCUUUACCCCGGGAUCUGUAAAGUCCUGAAAAGGUACAGAUUUAGUGAACUUUAUCAUCUGAAGUGGGGGAGCGGAAAAAAACCAAAACCAAAACCCUAAACUGUCUAGAUAACAUACUACAUAAUUUGCACCAGUUUAAAUAAUAAAAAGGACUCUUAAACCUUUCCUUCCAACAACUCAAAUUAUUAAUGUGCUCUAGAUUUUAUUACACAUAAUAUUACAAUUUUUACCAAGGCUACUGCAUCUCCUAUGCCCACAUGUACCCAGUCAGACCUUCUCCCUCAAGCUCCAACAUAAGUCUGUAGAAUAAUCAAGUAUUUUCUAAAGAGAUGCUGCAGACUCUGGGUGCAGGCAUGACUUCGCUGGACUCUUCAGGUCAGACAGUAAGUUAUUUCAUAAACAUCAUUGGCGCAGGUUUCAGCAUGCUCACCUCUUGGAAAAGCUGAGGAGUAGUCUACAUCACUCAAAACAUAAAGCAGUAAAAACCUGUCAAGCAGCACAAACACAGUCAAGAUAAAACCAGACUAAAGGUAACAUUCAAGUACAGUAAGUGCAGAUCAUAAAAGCACAUGUAAACAUUGUACCUUGCAAUUAGGAACCACGCAGCCAUGACUGCUGCAGCUGCACUUGCUGUGUCCUCACAAACCCUCCAGCUGGACUGUGCAUGCAAAGCACUCACACAUCCACAAGUCCCCACACACCAGCUACUCCAACCAAACACCAGUGUGCUUCUGAGUCAAGAGUUCAGGACAUGCUGUUGUCUUUAUAGGUCCUUCCUACUGCAGGUGUUUCCAAUCAGGUUUCUUUAAUGAGAAGUUGAACUGAGGUACCCAACAGGUCAACCCCCCUCCCCCAUACAAGUGUGAGGGACACACACACACACACACACACACAGAGGCAGCCUCACACAGGUGUGCCCACUAGAUGUGAUUGCUCCAGCAGAGAGCACUUACCUGUCUUCUGCAGAGGAUAUGAUGUGAUGCAUGACAGCAGAGGGCUUUCUGCUCAGCUGCUCACUUCUUUUACAUAUACAUGUUCAUUUUGUUCUUCGCUCAAACAUAAACUGUUACUCCAGGGCCUGGCAGGUUUAAUCCAAUCAGAGAAGGCCAAAAAAAUCUGUCUAGAUUCCGACUUUAUGACCCUGAUGAAGACCACAAGCUGAAGCGCAUUGGUCACCAAAUAAAGUAGAUCGCUAAUACUUUAAAUGUCGCUGAAGUCGUCACGUCAUCAGAUUUACCUGUGUUGCUAGAUUCAGACUUUACAAAGGAAAAGUGAAAUAAAAAUUUCAGUCAUGAACGUAUUGUGUUUAUUCAUGAUGCACUGUAUUUCAUACAUCCAAAGUAUAUAUUUAGGACUUGAGUUUUUAUCCAUUAAAAUCAUAAAAAACUGUGAGUGCAGUAAACUUGACUUUCUAAAUUAAUAACUUUAACUGCUUUAAGAAGCCAUGCAUCUCACAGCUAUGACCGUGACUU
Oreochromis niloticus (Nile tilapia) is the source of this 2707-nucleotide long non-coding RNA. NCBI's taxonomy places the organism in Eukaryota, Metazoa, Chordata, Actinopteri, Cichliformes, Cichlidae. The record is from Ensembl.